UGUAACUCUCCCGCAGGACAUCAGAAAACCCCGAAACACUAAGUAACAUUUUGGCCCGAUAUUGACCCUACCUAAUAAGGGCCCUAUCCGUUAAAGGCAGUGACGGAGCCAAUUAAGGGACAUGGGGUGACAGUUGUCCCCCCAAUUUAAAAAAAAAAAUUAAAUAAAAAAGAAAAGAAAAAAAGAAAAAAAGAAAAAAAAAAAAAAAAGGUGGCCCGUUCAUUUCUCUUCUGCAAGCCGCUCGACGCUCGUUCAUUUCUCUUCUUCAACCUCGCUCCUCCCUCCUCUCCAUAAAGUCGUACCUUGAAUUAUUCAUUGAAGCCGUACUUUAAAUUCUCCAUUGAAGCGGCUUCUGAGCCUUCCAUUCUGCAAUGAAUCAGCUUCUCAGGUGAAACAGGUAUGUCGAAUUUCAAUCAGUGAACCAUAUAAUGUGCCGAAGCUUUCAUCCUCGCAAUUAGUUAAGCAUCAUUUGAAGAAUUUCCCAUCAUAAAGAAAGAGAUCGAGAAAUAAGAGGUUUAUGUAGGUAUAUUUACUGCAUGUUUGUCAUUAUAUAUACUGCAUAGUUUUUAAUAAUUUUUUCAUCAAUAUUGAGUUUUGUACCCGGGUUUUAAUAUAUUAUCAUGUCUAGAGCAACAUUUUAAAUCUGCAUUGCCUAGUAUUUCUCUUAAGAAUUGAAACUUGAAUGUUGGGUUGAAUCGCAAAAGAAGACUCAUGAGAGCAUCAACAACAUAUUGGCUCUUGUUAUGAAGAGUGGAAAGCACACUCUUGGUUACAAGGCUGUUCUCAAAACCCUCAGAUCUUCUAAAAGUUUGUUUUCUAUAAACCCUAAUAACCUAAUUUUUUUUGGGUGUUUGUUAAUUUGAUAUGGGUUUAUCGUA
This is a long non-coding RNA of Chenopodium quinoa (quinoa), 878 nucleotides long. RefSeq lists it as uncharacterized. NCBI's taxonomy places the organism in Eukaryota, Viridiplantae, Streptophyta, Magnoliopsida, Caryophyllales, Amaranthaceae. The transcript has 3 exons. The record is from RefSeq and is a predicted model, not a curated record.